ACGAACGCUGGCGGCGUGCUUAACACAUGCAAGUCGAACGGAAAGGCCCUGCUUUUGUGGGGUGCUCGAGUGGCGAACGGGUGAGUAACACGUGAGUAACCUGCCCUUGACUUUGGGAUAACUUCAGGAAACUGGGGCUAAUACCGGAUAGUAGCUCCUGCUGCAUGGUGGGGGUUGGAAAGUUUCGGCGGUUGGGGAUGGACUCGCGGCUUAUCAGCUUGUUGGUGGGGUAGUGGCUUACCAAGGCUUUGACGGGUAGCCGGCCUGAGAGGGUGACCGGCCACAGUGGGACUGAGAUACGGCCCAGACUCCUACGGGAGGCAGCAGUGGGGAAUAUUGCACAAUGGGCGGAAGCCGGAUGCAGCAACGCCGCGUGCGGGAUGACGGCCUUCGGGUUGUAAACCGCUUUCGCCUGUGACGAAGCGUGAGUGACGGUAAUGGGUAAAGAAGCACCGGCUAACUACGUG
This 467-nucleotide ribosomal RNA is filed under the name uncultured bacterium. Its description in RNAcentral is "partial 16S ribosomal RNA". It matches the Rfam family "Bacterial small subunit ribosomal RNA", at positions 29 to 507 of the family's 1533-position model. The record is from RNAcentral.